GAACGCUAGCGGCAGGCUUAACACAUGCAAGUCGAGGGGCAGCGGGGAGGAAGCUUGCUUUCUCCGCCGGCGACCGGCGCACGGGUGAGUAACACGUAUGCAACCUGCCCCUGUCAGGGGGACAACCCGCCGAAAGGCGGGCUAAACCCGCGUACAUGCCACCGGGGCAUCCCGGAGGCAGGAAAGGCUUCGGCCGGACAGGGAUGGGCAUGCGGCGCAUUAGGCAGUAGGCGGGGUAACGGCCCACCUAACCGACGAUGCGUAGGAGUUCUGAGAGGAAGGUCCCCCACACUGGUACUGAGACACGGACCAGACUCCUACGGGAGGCAGCAGUGAGGAAUAUUGGUCAAUGGUCGGGAGACUGAACCAGCCAAGCCGCGUGAGGGAUGAAGGUACAGAGUAUCGUAAACCUCUUUUGUCAGGGAACAAAGGCGGGGACGUGUCCCCGGAUGAGUGUACCUGAAGAAAAAGCAUCGGCUAACUCCGUGCCAGCAGCCGCGGUAAUACGGAGGAUGCGAGCGUUAUCCAGAUUUAUUGGGUUUAAAGGGUGCGCAGGCGGUCUGUUAAGUCAGCGGUCAAAGCCCGGGGCUCAACCCCGGCCCGCCGUUGAAACUGGCAGUCUCGAGUUGGAGAGAAGUAUGCGGAAUGCGCGGUGUAGCGGUGAAAUGCAUAGAUAUCGCGCAGAACUCCGAUUGCGAAGGCAGCAUGCCGGCUCCACACUGACGCUGAGGCACGAAAGCGUGGGUAUCGAACAGGAUUAGAUACCCUGGUAGUCCACGCAGUGAACGAUGAAUGCUGGCUGUCCGGGGGGGAUUGACCCCUGGGUGGCGAAGCGAAAGCGAUAAGCAUUCCACCUGGGGAGUACGCCGGCAACGGUGAAACUCAAAGGAAUUGACGGGGGCCCGCACAAGCGGAGGAACAUGUGGUUUAAUUCGAUGAUACGCGAGGAACCUUACCCGGGCUCAAACGGGGAGUGACUCAGGCAGAGACGCCUGUUUCCCACGGGACACUCCCCGAGGUGCUGCAUGGUUGUCGUCAGCUCGUGCCGUGAGGUGUCGGCUUAAGUGCCAUAACGAGCGCAACCCCCGCGUGCAGUUGCUAACAGAUAACGCUGAGGACUCUGCACGGACUGCCGGCGCAAGCCGCGAGGAAGGCGGGGAUGACGUCAAAUCAGCACGGCCCUUACGUCCGGGGCGACACACGUGUUACAAUGGGUGGUACAGCGGGAAGCCAGGCGGCGACGCCGAGCGGAACCCGAAAUCCACUCUCAGUUCGGAUCGGAGUCUGCAACCCGACUCCGUGAAGCUGGAUUCGCUAGUAAUCGCGCAUCAGCCAUGGCGCGGUGAAUACGUUCCCGGGCCUUGUACACACCGCCCGUCAAGCCAUGGGAGCCGAGGGCGCUUGAAGUGCGUCGCCGCGAGGCGCGCCCUAGAGCGAAAUCGGUGACU
RNAcentral lists this ribosomal RNA (1448 nucleotides) under uncultured bacterium. RNAcentral's name for it is "partial 16S ribosomal RNA". It matches the Rfam family "Bacterial small subunit ribosomal RNA". The record is from RNAcentral.